AUACGGAGGGUGCAAGCGUUAAUCGGAAUUACUGGGCGUAAAGCGUACGUAGGCGGUUCGUUAAGUUAGAUGUGAAAGCCCCGGGCUUAACCUGGGAACUGCAUUUAAAACUGGCGAACUAGAGUUGAGUAGAGGGGAGUGGAAUUUCAGGUGUAGCGGUGAAAUGCGUAGAGAUCUGAAGGAACACCAGUGGCGAAGGCGACUUCCUGGACUCAAACUGACGCUGAGGUACGAAAGCGUGGGUAGCAAACGGGAGUAGAUACCCUAGUAGUCC
Molecule: ribosomal RNA, 274 nt
Filed under: uncultured bacterium
Lineage: Bacteria
Description: partial 16S ribosomal RNA
Rfam family: Bacterial small subunit ribosomal RNA
Source: RNAcentral